This 253-nucleotide ribosomal RNA is filed under the name uncultured bacterium. RNAcentral's name for it is "partial 16S ribosomal RNA". It matches the Rfam family "Bacterial small subunit ribosomal RNA", at positions 524 to 776 of the family's 1533-position model. The record is from RNAcentral.
GACAGAGGGUGCGAACGUUGUUCGGAAUUACUGGGCGUAAAGCGCGUGUAGGCGGCAGCGCAAGUCGGGCGUGAAAUCCCACGGCUCAACCGUGGAAGUGCACUCGAAACUGCGCAGCUAGAGUCCUGGAGAGGAAGGUGGAAUGCUUGGUGUAGAGGUGAAAUUCGUAGAUAUCAAGCGGAACACCGGUGGCGAAGGCGGCGAUCUGGACGAUGACUGACGCUGAGACGCGAAAGCGUGGGGAGCAAACAGG